ACCCCACUGACCUAUCUUUAGGACCACAGUAUAAAAGGACACAAAUUCACACCACAAUCAGCAAUCUACUCUAGCACUCCAUAGUGUUCACUUCAGCAAGGCUUUACGCUUAACAGAAAAUCUUUUUUUCAAAACCGUUCAUGAUGAAGGCUGUUAUUUGUGUACUUCUUGCUUGCAUUCUUGCUGUGGCUUAUGCCCAGGUCUCAACAAGCACUAGUGGAGGAGCCAGCUCAUCACCAAUGGGUUCAAUGUUCUCUUCCAGAGGUGGAAUGCCAAACCAAAUGCUCUAUAUGGCUGCACUUGGUGGAAACGAAAAUGCUCGCUUAAUGCUUCAAUGCAGCAUGAUGAACAUACCCUGGUUUUUGUGUAUGAGAACCAUGUCUUAAGAUGAACCUUGAUGACUUGGACAGAUCGGGGCUGGACCCUUUAUCUUUACGGCCUUAAAAUCCAAAACUGUUACAUGAGAUUUGGUAUCAGUGUUGACCACCAACAAUGCGUCAAGUUCCUCUUUAGAACUCUUCAACAAUCGAGACUUUCAUUACAUAUCAGUUAUCUUUUGUUAAAUAAAAGUGUGCAUCAUUUUUCCAUUAAAAUAACAUGCAUCAUUUAAAUUAUUAUUAGUGUGAAUAAAAAAAAAACAAACUCUCAUUACAUCUACAGAUUUUCAUAUUAAACAUAGGUCAGUUCAUAUUAAAUAUAGGUCAGACUGAAUAAAGUCUUGUUUUGUUAUUGUUUCUAUUUAUUUAUAACAAAAUAAAUUAUUAUGAAAACUGACAAAA
This is a long non-coding RNA of Mercenaria mercenaria, 779 nucleotides long. RefSeq lists it as uncharacterized. Lineage: Eukaryota; Metazoa; Mollusca; Bivalvia; Venerida; Veneridae. The record is from RefSeq and is a predicted model, not a curated record. The transcript has 2 exons.